AACGAACGCUGGCGGCAUGCCUAACACAUGCAAGUCGAACGAGACCUUCGGGUCUAGUGGCGCACGGGUGCGUAACGCGUGGGAAUCUGCCCUUGGGUUCGGAAUAACUUCGGGAAACUGAAGCUAAUACCGGAUGAUGACGUAAGUCCAAAGAUUUAUCGCCCAAGGAUGAGCCCGCGUAGGAUUAGCUAGUUGGUGAGGUAAAGGCUCACCAAGGCGACGAUCCUUAGCUGGUCUGAGAGGAUGAUCAGCCACACUGGGACUGAGACACGGCCCAGACUCCUACGGGAGGCAGCAGUGGGGAAUAUUGGACAAUGGGCGAAAGCCUGAUCCAGCAAUGCCGCGUGAGUGAUGAAGGCCUUAGGGUUGUAAAGCUCUUUACCCGGGAUGAUAAUGACAGUACCGGGAGAAUAAGCUCCGGCUAAACUCCGUGCCAGCAGCCGCGGU
Molecule: ribosomal RNA, 447 nt
Filed under: uncultured bacterium
Lineage: Bacteria
Description: bacterial SSU rRNA
Rfam family: Bacterial small subunit ribosomal RNA
Source: RNAcentral